RNAcentral lists this long non-coding RNA (254 nucleotides) under Lathyrus oleraceus (garden pea). RNAcentral describes it as "Pisum sativum (pea) long non-coding RNA (PSAT_LNC020226)". Lineage: Eukaryota; Viridiplantae; Streptophyta; Magnoliopsida; Fabales; Fabaceae. The record is from RNAcentral.
AGUAAUGAAGACGAAAGGAAGAACCAGAGUCUGACGCACCAUCAGUACCAUCAUUUUUGAAGGAAUAUUGCAUAAUUAGAUGUGACACAAGACGUCUCUUACCCGUUGAAAGCUACAAGUAGUUGAAGUAUCACUCUUAGGUUUGAUUUUUUAUUUACUGUAUAAAAACAUUUUAACUUAGGAACCUAUUAUCUUGUAUUUACUUUGCUCACUAUGAGCUAAAACUCCUUAUGUUGGUUAAUGUGAAAUUUAAU